AUUGAACGCUGGCGGCAUGCCUUACACAUGCAAGUCGAACGGCAGCACGGGUACUUGCACCUGGUGGCGAGUGGCGAACGGGUGAGUAAUACAUCGGAACAUGUCCUGUAGUGGGGGAUAGCCCGGCGAAAGCCGGAUUAAUACCGCAUACGAUCUACGGAUGAAAGCGGGGGACCUUCGGGCCUCGCGCUAUAGGGUUGGCCGAUGGCUGAUUAGCUAGUUGGUGGGGUAAAGGCCUACCAGGCGACGAUCAGUAGCUGGUCUGAGAGGACGACCAGCCACACUGGGACUGAGACACGGCCCAGACUCCUACGGGAGGCAGCAGUGGGGAAUUUUGGACAAUGGGCGAAAGCCUGAUCCAGCAAUGCCGCGUGUGUGAAGAAGGCCUUCGGGUUGUAAAGCACUUUUGUCCGGAAAGAAAUCCUUGGCCCUAAUACGGUCGGGGGAUGACGGUACCGGAAGAAUAAGCACCGGCUAACUACGUG
This 485-nucleotide ribosomal RNA is filed under the name uncultured bacterium. RNAcentral describes it as "partial 16S ribosomal RNA". It matches the Rfam family "Bacterial small subunit ribosomal RNA", at positions 30 to 507 of the family's 1533-position model. The record is from RNAcentral.